This 266-nucleotide ribosomal RNA is filed under the name uncultured prokaryote. Its description in RNAcentral is "partial 16S ribosomal RNA". It matches the Rfam family "Bacterial small subunit ribosomal RNA", at positions 524 to 788 of the family's 1533-position model. The record is from RNAcentral.
UACGUAGGUGGCAAGCGUUAUCCGGAAUUAUUGGGCGUAAAGAGCGCGCAGGUGGUUGAUUAAGUCUGAUGUGAAAGCCCACGGCUUAACCGUGGAGGGUCAUUGGAAACUGGUCGACUUGAGUGCAGAAGAGGGAAGUGGAAUUCCAUGUGUAGCGGUGAAAUGCGUAGAGAUAUGGAGGAACACCAGUGGCGAAGGCGGGUUCCUGGUCUGUAACUGACACUGAGGCGCGAAAGCGUGGGGAGCAAACAGGAUUAGAUACCCCU